Molecule: ribosomal RNA, 240 nt
Filed under: uncultured Gemmatimonadota bacterium
Lineage: Bacteria; Pseudomonadati; Gemmatimonadota
Description: uncultured Gemmatimonadetes bacterium partial 16S ribosomal RNA
Rfam family: Bacterial small subunit ribosomal RNA
Source: RNAcentral
GAGUUUGAUCUGGCUCAGGACGAACGCUGGCGGCGUGCUUAACACAUGCAAGUCGAGGGGGCUACUUCGGUAGUCACCGGCGAACGGGUGCGUAACACGUGAGCGACCUGCCCCACCGGUGGGGAAUAGCCGGCCCAACGGCCGGGUAAUACCGCAUACGCUCUCUUCGGGGCAUCUCGGAGAGAGGAAAGCCCUGGGCAACCAGGGCACCGGGGGAGGGGCUCGCGGCCUAUCAGCUAG